CCAUACCAGCCGGGGGAGUAGCGGGGCCCUGCACCUGAAAUCCGCUAUACGCAGGGGUGGAUCCCUUUUUUGAGGACCGAAGCAAUGCGGUCCGGCGCGUAUUCUUUUGUGUUGACGAGUGGGUCUUGCGCAAUCGGUGGCCGUGAACCAUGUCAGGUGGGGAACCAAGCAGCAUUAAGCGGUUCUCCCGAUGUGCCGCGAGGGUGCCUGCUUUGAGCAAAAGGUGCGAAUGCCGCGCAAAGGUGACGUUCGAUUGAAAGGUGUAUGG
This 268-nucleotide signal recognition particle RNA is filed under the name Oscillospiraceae bacterium. RNAcentral's name for it is "signal recognition particle sRNA large type". It matches the Rfam family "Bacterial large signal recognition particle RNA". Rfam says of the family: The signal recognition particle (SRP) is a universally conserved ribonucleoprotein involved in the co-translational targeting of proteins to membranes. Archaeal SRP consists of a 7S RNA and homologues of the eukaryotic SRP19 and SRP54 proteins. The record is from RNAcentral. Lineage: Bacteria; Bacillati; Bacillota; Clostridia; Eubacteriales; Oscillospiraceae.